RNAcentral lists this ribosomal RNA (512 nucleotides) under uncultured bacterium. Its description in RNAcentral is "partial 16S ribosomal RNA". It matches the Rfam family "Bacterial small subunit ribosomal RNA", at positions 28 to 507 of the family's 1533-position model. The record is from RNAcentral.
GAUGAACGCUGGCGGCGUGCCUAAUACAUGCAAGUCGAACGAAACUUCUUUAUCACCGAGUGCUUGCACUCACCGAUAAAGAGUUGAGUGGCGAACGGGUGAGUAACGCGUGGGCAACCUGCCCAAAAGAGGGGGAUAACACUUGGAAACAGGUGCUAAUACCGCAUAACCAUAGUUACCGCAUGGUAACUAUGUAAAAGGUGGCUAUACUACCGCUUUUGGAUGGGCCCGCGGCGCAUUAGCUAGUUGGUAGGGUAAAGGCUUACCAAGGCAAUGAUGCGUAGCCGAAUUGAGAGGUUGAUCGGCCACAUUGGGACUGAGACACGGCCCAAACUCCUACGGGAGGCAGCAGUAGGGAAUCUUCCACAAAGGGCGAAAGCCUGAUGGAGCAACGCCGCGUGGGUGAAGAAGGUCUUCGGAUCGUAAAACCCUGUUGUUAGAGAAGAAAGUGCGUGAGAGUAACUGUUCACGUUUCGACGGUAUCUAACCAGAAAGCCACUGCUAACUACGUG